UACUGGAAACGGUAGGCUAAUACCGCAUAAUGUCGCAAGACCAAAGAGGGGGACCGUUCGGGCCUCUUGCCAUCGGAUGUGCCCCAGAUGGGAUUAGCUUGUUGGUGGGGUAACGGGCUCACCAAGGCGACGAUCCCUAGCUGGUCUGAGAGGAUGACCAGCCACACUGGAACUGAGACACGGUCCAGACUCCUACGGGAGGCAGCAUG
Molecule: ribosomal RNA, 209 nt
Filed under: uncultured bacterium
Lineage: Bacteria
Description: partial 16S ribosomal RNA
Rfam family: Bacterial small subunit ribosomal RNA
Source: RNAcentral